CACCCAUAAUAAAAUCGUGAAUGACACCUCUAUGUUCAAUUGAACUGCAUCCCUGGUCCUUUUGAACUCCUCUUUUCUUCAUCAUUUCUCUCACUUCCGAAAUUUUGUUCCACUUACCUGUUGCAGCAUACAUGUUUGAGAGAACAACAUAACUUCCAAUAGCUCCUUUUUUUUUUUUUGGAAAUAACGUCCAAUAGCUCAUGAUGCUGAUAUAACCCACAGAAUGCUGAAAAAAUUAUCUUGUCAUGCUUAGGUGCAAUGGAUGUUAGUUUAUGCAAAGAAACCCAGUUGUCCACAGUUUUCUCAUGGUUAUAUAUGAUGGGGAAUAGUUAAAUUUUAAGAUUUGCAGUUAUUGGAAAUAUUAUUAUAUAUUUUAAAUGUGGAAACCAUUUGAUUGUAGAAAGAUUUGUGCUAAAAUAAAAUGAAUUUCCCAUUUGAUUGUACAAAAAUUUGGACUAUAAUAAAAUGAAUUUCAUAAUGGAAAGCAGGCCAUACACAGAGAUGACUUUUAUUGAGUCUCUUUUCUGUCUUGUUAAACUUAUGUAUCUGGUCCACAGUAAUGCAAGCGAUGCCUUGGAGAAAGUGUUACAGAUCCUGCACUAUGAAGGAUGCUGUUAAUCUUGAUAUCCAAAUCCAAGUUGAUAAAGAUAAUGGGAUUGUUUUUAUCAUUGACAUGGCAAUGGAAUGACUCGGCAAGAUCUGGUUGACUGUCUUGGAACUAUUGCACAAAGUGGCGCUGCUAAGUUUUUGAAGGCAAUAAAGGUAAAAGACUUUUCAAGCUGUAUUUCAGUCAUGGGUUUAUUCGUAUUCAGAUGAUGAACUAAAUAACUCAUUAGUCCACAGGAAAGCAAGGGUGCUGGUGCUGACAGUAAUUUAAUUGGUCAGUUUGGUGUGGGCUUUCCUUUUUUCUGAUAGGUUAUUUCCUAGAAACCAAGGUCUAAUAAAGUAUGUAUGGGAAGGAGAAGCUAAUGCUUGCUCUUACACUAUUUUUUGAGAGGAAACAGACCCAGAGAAGCUCAUUCCUAUAGGAACGCACCUUACCGUGUAUCUUAAGAAAAUGAUCUCCUCCUACUUUCAGUGUGAUGACAAGGGCUUGGCACAUCCAGAGCGGAUUUCGAAGCUAGUGAAAAUUCGCAGUUUAUCUCCUUCCCAAUAUACAGUGAGCAAGGAAAGGGAUAUACUAAAGAGGUAUGGCCACUAGAGCCAGUUAAAUACUGGAUUUGAAGUGUCUUUGUAAAUUGCUUUUACAUUGGCCAUGAUGCAUAAUCUUUGCGCACAUUGAGAUUGAUGAGGAUCCACCUGAAGCCAAAAAGGAUGGUGAAGAGGAGAAAACUGAGAAUAAGAAGAAAAAAAAACUGUUGUCAAGAGAUACUGGGACUGAGAACUCACUAACGAGACCCAGCCCAUUUGGCUUCUCAGCCCCAAGGACGUGACAACAGAGGAGUAUAAUGAAUUUUACAAGAAAACCUUCAAUGAAUAUUUGGAUCCAUUGCUUCACAACAGAGGUGGAGUUUAGGUGUGUACUUUAUGUGCCAGCUAUAACUCCUAUGCGGAAGGAUGAUAUAAUCAAUCUGAAGACAAAAAAAUAUAAGGCUUUAUGUGGAAAGGGUUUUCAUUUCAGAUGAUUUCUGAUGAUCUUGUGUUCGAGCCGCAGUUGUUGCAAACAGUUUCCUCGGUAUCUAAGCUUCAUACUCGAAUGAUCUUCCACUCAGUGUUUCAUGGAGAUUCUUAAGGAAACCCGCAUCAAGGUUUGUAGUAUGAGGAAACGUUUGGUUCGAAAGGCUUUUGACAUGAUUCCCAGAAUGUCCCUAGUGACAACCUUGCUUUCUACAUUACUCAAGAUUAUGAGAAAUUCUUGGAGAACUAUGGCAAAUAUUUGAAA
This is a non-coding RNA of Carica papaya (papaya), 1882 nucleotides long. Lineage: Eukaryota; Viridiplantae; Streptophyta; Magnoliopsida; Brassicales; Caricaceae. The record is from RefSeq and is a predicted model, not a curated record.